UAAUGAGAGUUUGAUCCUGGCUCAGGACGAACGCUGGCGGCGUGCCUAAUACAUGCAAGUAGAACGCUGAAGGAGGAGCUUGCUCUUCUGGAUGAGUUGCGAACGGGUGAGUAACGCGUAGGUAACCUGCCUGGUAGCGGGGGAUAACUAUUGGAAACGAUAGCUAAUACCGCAUAAUAGUAGAUGUUGCAUGACAUUUACUUAAAAGGUGCAAUUGCAUCACUACCAGAUGGACCUGCGUUGUAUUAGCUAGUUGGUGGGGUAACGGCUCACCAAGGCGACGAUACAUAGCCGACCUGAGAGGGUGAUCGGCCACACUGGGACUGAGACACGGCCCAGACUCCUACGGGAGG
This 353-nucleotide ribosomal RNA is filed under the name uncultured Symbiodinium. RNAcentral's name for it is "partial Bacterial small subunit ribosomal RNA". It matches the Rfam family "Bacterial small subunit ribosomal RNA", at positions 1 to 348 of the family's 1533-position model. Lineage: Eukaryota; Dinophyceae; Suessiales; Symbiodiniaceae. The record is from RNAcentral.